Molecule: ribosomal RNA, 424 nt
Filed under: uncultured bacterium
Lineage: Bacteria
Description: bacterial SSU rRNA
Rfam family: Bacterial small subunit ribosomal RNA
Source: RNAcentral
GUGAGGAAUAUUGGUCAAUGGGCGAGAGCCUGAACCAGCCAAGUAGCGUGAAGGAAGACUGCCCUAUGGGUUGUAAACUUCUUUUAUAAGGGAAUAAAGAGCGCCACGUGUGGUGUGUUGUAUGUACCUUAUGAAUAAGCAUCGGCUAAUUCCGUGCCAGCAGCCGCGGUAAUACGGAAGAUGCGAGCGUUAUCCGGAUUUAUUGGGUUUAAAGGGAGCGUAGGCGGGAAGUUAAGUCAGCGGUCAAACACGGUUGCUCAACAAUCGUUCGCCGUUGAAACUGACUUUCUUGAAUGUAGUCAAGGCAGGUGGAAUUCGUGGUGUAGCGGUGAAAUGCUUAGAUAUCACGAAGAACUCCGAUAGCGAAGGCAGCCUGCUGGAGUAUGAUUGACGCUGAGGCUCGAAAGUGCGGGAAUCAAACAGG